AUACGGAGGGUCCAAGCGUUAUCCGGAAUCAUUGGGUUUAAAGGGUCCGCAGGCGGUCAAUUAAGUCAGAGGUGAAAGCCCAUCGCUCAGCGAUGGAACUGCCUUUGAUACUGGUUGACUUGAGUUAUACGGAAGUAGAUAGAAUAAGUAGUGUAGCGGUGAAAUGCAUAGAUAUUACUUAGAAUACCGAUUGCGAAGGCAGUCUACUACGUAUAUACUGACGCUGAGGGACGAAAGCGUGGGGAGCGAACAGGAUUAGAAACCCCAGUAGUCC
This 274-nucleotide ribosomal RNA is filed under the name uncultured bacterium. RNAcentral's name for it is "partial 16S ribosomal RNA". It matches the Rfam family "Bacterial small subunit ribosomal RNA", at positions 523 to 796 of the family's 1533-position model. The record is from RNAcentral.